GUGCUUUCUUAGGCAGCACAUAUACUAAAAUUAGAAGGAUACAGAUAAGAUUAUCAUGGCCCCUGUGCAAGGAUGACACGCAAAUUCGUGAAGUGCUUCAUAUUUUU
Fukomys damarensis (Damara mole-rat) is the source of this 107-nucleotide small nuclear RNA. The record is from Ensembl. Lineage: Eukaryota; Metazoa; Chordata; Mammalia; Rodentia; Bathyergidae.